This 98-nucleotide microRNA precursor is filed under the name Loxodonta africana (African savanna elephant). Its description in RNAcentral is "mir-544 microRNA precursor family". It matches the Rfam family "mir-544 microRNA precursor family". The record is from Rfam by way of RNAcentral. Lineage: Eukaryota; Metazoa; Chordata; Mammalia; Proboscidea; Elephantidae.
AUCACCUGGGGAUCUUGUUCAUAUACAGAUUCUGAUAUAGGAGGUCUUGCGUGGGGCCUGAGGUUCUGCAUUUCUAACAAGCCUCCAGGUGAUGCUGA